This 461-nucleotide ribosomal RNA is filed under the name uncultured Actinomycetes bacterium. RNAcentral's name for it is "bacterial SSU rRNA". It matches the Rfam family "Bacterial small subunit ribosomal RNA", at positions 355 to 803 of the family's 1533-position model. The record is from RNAcentral. Lineage: Bacteria; Bacillati; Actinomycetota; Actinomycetes.
UGGGGAAUCUUGCGCAAUGCGCGAAAGCGUGACGCAGCAACGCCGCGUGGGGGAAGAAGGCCUUCGGGUUGUAAACCCCUUUCAGUUGGGACGAAGCUUCGCGGGUUAAUAGCCUGCUGGAGUGACGGUACCUUCAGAAGAAGCCCCGGCUAACUACGUGCCAGCAGCCGCGGUAAUACGUAGGGGGCUAGCGUUGUCCGGAAUCAUUGGGCGUAAAGCGCGUGUAGGCGGUCCGGUAAGUCCGCUGUGAAAGUCGGGGGCUCAACCCUCGGAUGCCCGGUGGAUACUGUCGGGCUUGAGUACGGAAGAGGCGAGUGGAAUUCCUGGGUGUAGCGGUGAGGAUGCGCAGAUAUCAGGGAGGAACACCAAUUGCGAAGGCAGCUCGCUGGGACGUUACUGACGCUGAGACGCGAAAGCGUGGGGGAGCAAACAGGAUUAGAUACCCUGGUAGUCCACGCUGU